GAGAGUAUAGCUCAAGUGGUAGAGUGCAUGCUUAGCAUGCAUGAGGUCCUAGGUUCAAUUCCCAAUACCUCCA
RNAcentral lists this transfer RNA (73 nucleotides) under Camelus ferus (Wild Bactrian camel). It matches the Rfam family "tRNA". From Rfam's summary of the family: Transfer RNA (tRNA) molecules are approximately 80 nucleotides in length. The record is from Rfam by way of RNAcentral. Lineage: Eukaryota; Metazoa; Chordata; Mammalia; Artiodactyla; Camelidae.